This is a non-coding RNA of Myodes glareolus (Bank vole), 734 nucleotides long. The record is from the annotation of a RefSeq genome assembly. NCBI's taxonomy places the organism in Eukaryota, Metazoa, Chordata, Mammalia, Rodentia, Cricetidae.
GAUGAAUGAGGAAGCUUAGCGCCUCAGAGAGAAUCUGCUGUGUGUAAGCACAAGUGUGUUUAGGCACAAGACUUGACACCCUCACAGCUGGAGAGAAGACAUCCGGAAACGGGACAGGAGUCAUGGAGAGGAAACUGAGAGCUGUGCUGUGGAUUCUGUGGGUGCAGAUUUACUGGGUGAGAGGAGUUGAGGUGGAGCAGAGUCCUUCAGCCCUGAGUCUCCACGAGGGAAACAAUUCUACUCUGUCAUGCAAUUUUUCUACCACUAUGGCAAUUGUGCAGUGGUUCCGGCAGAAUUCCAGAGGCAAUCUCAUCAGUCUUUUUUACCAGGCUCCAGGAAGAAAGGAGCAUGGGAGGUUAACGUCAGUAUUCGACUCCAAGGAGCGCUACAGCACCCUGCACAUCAGGGAUGCCCAGCUGGAGGACUCAGGCACCUACCUCUGUGCUGCGAGUGCACAGUGCUCCCCGCAGGCCUGCAGCCUGUCUGCAAACUGCAGCUGGGUGUGCAGCUACAGCCCUAACAUGAGCAGACUCUGUAGGAGGCUUUUCACAGCUGUGACUUUAUCAGAUCUCCAGCAAUUACAAAGAAGGUGUGAGGAAAUACAAAAAUACCACAGCUUAAACUCAAAUUGGCAUGACACUGACUUGAGGAAGCUUAAAUGUUCAGAAACAUCCCAAACAUGACUAAGAUGUACACAUUUAUUUUAUCAAAUGCUAGCGCUAAUAUCAUGAAAU